RNAcentral lists this ribosomal RNA (510 nucleotides) under uncultured bacterium. RNAcentral's name for it is "partial 16S ribosomal RNA". It matches the Rfam family "Bacterial small subunit ribosomal RNA", at positions 28 to 507 of the family's 1533-position model. The record is from RNAcentral.
GACGAACGCUGGCGGCGUGCUUAACACAUGCAAGUCGAACGAAGAGCGCCGGCAGCUUGCUUCUAUCCAUCUUAGUGGCGAACGGGUGAGUAACGCGUAAUCAACCUGCUCUUCAGAGGGGGACAACAGUUGGAAACGACUGCUAAUACUGCAUACGAUCUAAUCUCGGCAUCGAGGAUGGAUGAAAGGUGGCCUCUACAUGUAAGCUAUCACUGCAGGUGGGGAUUGGGUCUGUUUAGGAAGUUGGAGGGGUAACGGCCCACCAAGGCGAUGAUCAGUAGCAGGUCGGAGCGGAGGGACGGCCACAUUGGGACUGAGACACGGCCCAGACUCCUACGGGAGGCAGCAGGGGGGAAUCUUCCGCAAUGGACGAAAGUCUGACGGAGCAACGCCGCGUGAGUGAUGACGGCCUUCGGGUUGUAAAGCUCUGUUAAUCGGGACGAAAGGCCUUCUUGCGAAUAGUGAGAAGGAUUGACGGUACCGGAAUAGAAAGCCACGGCUAACUACGUG